AUAUGGUAUUUGAAGGAUGUCAAUGCAAAAGCAUUAUAUGCAGCAGAAAAGCAGUCAGAUAAAAAUAAUGAGUACUCUCAGUGUGGUUGUUAACUAAGUAAUGACUAUUGAGAUUUGGGGACUCUAAUAUUUUUCCUGGAGAAGACAUGAAGAGAUGCAAAUUGAAGUACGAGACUAUGUCACCUCCUUGGGUAAAAGCAUGGGAAGUGGGGAUGCGGGGAAGAAACCUGUGACAUUUAAGACAUCUAAGACAUUCAGGAAAACGGAGUUCAGAAGAUGUUCUGAUUAAUGGAGGAGAGAAAUUAUUCUCUUGGAUGUUUGGUUUAGGCUGAAUGGUAGGAAAAGAUUGACUCAGUUCCCAGGAAGCUUUUUUUGUGGUUGUAGAUUCCAGAGGAGUUCACAGAAAGGAUCAGCUUGCUCACAGACUCAACAACAGUCAACUCAAGUGCCAAGAAAGUUGGGCGAGGUUGGAUGAAGCCCAGGUGAGUGACAUGGGAGGGGGUGAGACAACCAGAGACCGGAACCUUAAAUAGAAAAUGAUGAGCCAUCAUACCCUUGAGGGGGCAAUAAACCCUGUGAAGAGAAUUCCAAAAACGUUCCAUUAUUUGAACAAGUACAAAGCCCACUUUGAGCAUGGGUGCAUAUAUUGCUAUGCUUGUUUAAAAUAAAUCCAGCGACUUAUGUCAUCUGUUUCUCUAAUAAUAAACAACAAAAGGAAAAACAGCUGAAAACAGCCCAGAAAAAAAAAUACCAGGUUUUGAGUUGGGCAGAAAUCUUUGCUUUGGAGACGCAGCAUCGCCUGCAGGGCUGUGCACCUUAAAGCUGGCCAUCACUUAUGUCCAGUGGGAGUUUUGACUUUUGGAAGAAACAACUUCCUUGUGAGAGAUGAAAAGAUAAACAAUUCUGUGUAAAUAAUAGAUAUGCUUUGUGUAACAUCAGAGGAAAGCUCCCAGGAGCGGCCGCUUGGGUAAUCAGAUACCUAAGAAAUUUGCUUCAAGAAAACCCUUUCUUCAUUCUGUGAUCUGGACAUAUUUGUUUACUCAUCUAAUGCAUUGUUCCAGUAAAACCAGGCAGAACUGUGGAAGAUGACAAUUUUGAACAAUGCAUGAUACUAUAUAAUUCCAAAUGCAACUUUACAUGAUCAGUUAUAGGGCCACAGCAUUUAAUUACUGCAUGUGCUUUUAAGGCUAUAAUGUUUCUCUUCAGUUACAUUUUCUAUGGUUAAUAAAAUACGGGGUCUUGUCAUUUCUAUGAAAAACUGAGCAUUGACACAAUUCCCCCGUACACCAAUAUUUUAAAGCACAGAUCACUCCAGGUAAUAUCCCUCUGCUG
Molecule: long non-coding RNA, 1332 nt
Filed under: Macaca fascicularis (crab-eating macaque)
Lineage: Eukaryota; Metazoa; Chordata; Mammalia; Primates; Cercopithecidae
Description: lncRNA (ENSMFAG00000051555.1)
Source: RNAcentral